AAAUUGGUGGUGAUAGUUGUAUAAAUGUUAUUUUUUGCAAAACAUUACACUCCUGAGGAUGACGCAAUAGUAUACGUCGAAACAUGUAGUGUAAAAAAUUGUUUUCCAGUUUCAUCGGGUUUUUUACCACUCUUUAGGCUUGUACAAUCCAAUAACUGCUGAGAACAAUGAGUGGUGUGUGUAUGUAAGACAAGAAACUAUAGAGUGGGAACGGAAAGCUGUUUUCUGAUGAAAGAUGAAUACGUAAGAAGUAGGACCAUGCAAUGAUGUCAAGAAUGACACUAAAAGAGGCAAAACAUCUGCAUUUCAAGAGAAAGAAGUUCAGCUUUCCAAAUGUAUCGGACAUGUUUCGGAUUAACCACAGAAAAAAAAAUGCAUUAUUUGAAGAACUUCUUUUACUUUAAUAUAAUAUGAUGCACUAACCAACAAAUACUCAAUUAACAGAAAUGUAUGUGAUAGUGUAAAGAAACUGUAGAAACGCAAUGGGUGAGAAGUACUGAAAGAUAGCUUUUAAUAAAUUUUGAUUAUUCUCGCU
Long non-coding RNA from Limulus polyphemus (Atlantic horseshoe crab), 535 nucleotides. RefSeq lists it as uncharacterized. The transcript is spliced from 3 exons. The record is from RefSeq and is a predicted model, not a curated record. NCBI's taxonomy places the organism in Eukaryota, Metazoa, Arthropoda, Merostomata, Xiphosura, Limulidae.